GAGAGAGAGAGAGAGAGAGAGAGAGAGAAGACUCAAGGAUGACACCUAGGUUGUUAUCAGAGGUCAAUGGAAUGAAUCUGAACUUUCUCAGAGUCCACCAGUGACAUAAAAGAGCAUGGACAAAGCUGGAGAAAGUCCCAGAUGGCAUCUCAAGGGUCCUCAGUUAACAGUGUGGCUACAUUAAGGCCUUCUUUCACUCUGGAGAACAACCACUGUCAGAUCCCUUUGACAUGAGUCUAAUUUCCUCGUUCAGUAAAGUCUAAUUAAAUUCAUGCUCUACUGA
This is a long non-coding RNA of Dromiciops gliroides (monito del monte), 283 nucleotides long. RefSeq lists it as uncharacterized. The transcript is spliced from 2 exons. The record is from RefSeq and is a predicted model, not a curated record. Lineage: Eukaryota; Metazoa; Chordata; Mammalia; Microbiotheria; Microbiotheriidae.